Long non-coding RNA from Oncorhynchus keta (chum salmon), 668 nucleotides. RefSeq lists it as uncharacterized. The record is from RefSeq and is a predicted model, not a curated record. The transcript has 3 exons. Lineage: Eukaryota; Metazoa; Chordata; Actinopteri; Salmoniformes; Salmonidae.
UUCACUGCUACAGUCUCCCUAUUAUAGAUACAUUAUCAUUACAACCCCACUCAGGUAAUGUCUGGUUUCACUGCUACAGUCUCUGUAUUAUAGAUACAUUAUCAUUACAACCCCACUCAGGUAACGUCUGGUUUCACUGCUACAGUCUCUGUAUUAUAGAUACAUUAUCAUUACAACCCCACUCAGGUAACGUCUGGUUUCACUGCUACAGUCUCUGUAUUAUAGAUACAUUAUCAUUACAACCCCACUCAGGUAACGUCUGGUUUCACUGCUACAGUCUCUGUAUUAUAGAUACAUUAUCAUUACAACCCCACUCAGGUAACGUCUGGUUUCACUGCUACAGUCUCUGUAUUAUAGAUACAUUAUCAUUACAACCCCACUCAGGUAACGUCUGGUUUCACUGCUACAGUCUCUGUAUUAUAGAUACAUUAUCAUUACAACCCCACUCAGGUAACGUCUGGUUUCACUGCUACAGUCUCUGUAUUAUAGAUACAUUAUCAUUACAACCCCACUCAGGUAACGUCUGGUUUCACUGCUACAGUCUCUGUAUUAUAGAUACAUUAUCAUUACAACCCCACUCAGGUAACGUCUGGUUUCACUGCUACAGUCUCUGUAUUAUAGAUACAUUAUCAUUACAACCCCACUCAGGUAACGUCUGGUUUCACUGC